Molecule: unclassified non-coding RNA, 296 nt
Organism: Dipodomys ordii (Ord's kangaroo rat)
Lineage: Eukaryota; Metazoa; Chordata; Mammalia; Rodentia; Heteromyidae
Gene: 7SK
Rfam family: 7SK RNA
About the family: 7SK was discovered as an abundant small nuclear RNA in the mid-70s but a possible function has only recently been suggested.
Source: Ensembl
AGAAAGAGCGAUCUGGCUGCGACAUCUGGCACCCCCUUGAUCGCCAGGGUUGAUUCGGCUGAUCUGGCUGGCUAGGCGGGAGUCCCCUUCCUCCCUCACUGCUCCAUGUGAGUCCCUCCCGAAGCUGCGCGCUCGGUCGAAGAGGACGACCAUCCCCGAUAGAGGAGGACCGGUCUUCGGUCAAGGGUACAUGAGUAGCUGCGCUCCCCUGCUAGAACCUCCAAACAAGCUCUUGCUAUUUCUAAUGCAUUUAUAGUGUACCAUGGAUUCUGUUCUUUCAACCACACAGGCUCUGU